UUGUCCAAAAUUCAAAUCUUCUCAAAAUUACUUACCAUGUGUCCAUCAAUGAUAGGGAGCCUGAUUUAUAUGCUAUAUCAUGUUCAAUGGUAGUGGGUCUGAAAAUAACACAUAUGGAGUUCUUUUAUUUAGGAUGGCAAUGGGUCAGACAUAGACCGAGUUGGUCAACAUCCAUAUCUACCUAAUUAAAAAUUUUAUAUCCAUCGAUGCCCCAUACCCACCUCCGAUUAGAUCAGAUCGAAAAAAGUGGAGAUAC
This 256-nucleotide long non-coding RNA is filed under the name Elaeis guineensis (African oil palm). RNAcentral describes it as "long non-coding RNA (EGUI_LNC017501)". Lineage: Eukaryota; Viridiplantae; Streptophyta; Magnoliopsida; Arecales; Arecaceae. The record is from RNAcentral.